RNAcentral lists this small RNA (551 nucleotides) under Arabidopsis thaliana (thale cress). RNAcentral describes it as "putative long intergenic non-coding RNA". The record is from RNAcentral. Lineage: Eukaryota; Viridiplantae; Streptophyta; Magnoliopsida; Brassicales; Brassicaceae.
UUUUCAACUACCAUUCUUAAAUUUACAAUAAUUUCAAGUACUUGAGGUGGAGACGACUCAUAACGAAACAUGUAUGACUGUAUGAGUAUGACAUUGGAAACUAUUGGUCACAAGAGCCAUUUUCCACUUCUUCCCUUUUCGAGAGCCGCUAAACAGAAGAAGAAACAACAGUUUGCAAAACUAUAGUCAAUAGUGUUUCACUCGGUUAGUAUCAGUUGGUUGUAGGAACAUACCAAAGCGGAAUGAAGUUAAACCGAUCAAACCCGAGGGGAUACGUCAAUCAGAAAAGAUCACAAGUCCGGUCCAACCUUUGUGGUCGCCAACACAUUCUAUUCAUCACUAGCCGACUUCUUCUAAGUUCUGACAAUAGAAAACCCUUUUAAAUUCUACAAAUAAACCUAAACUAAUCCACGUACAACAUAUUACAAUGUGGGGCAUCAUCAUUCAUCGUCAAGUUUACGCAGUUUUAGCUUUUCGAUGAGUUUCAUUUUUUUAAACUUAAAACAUCAAACUUUGUUUAAUAAAUUCAAAGAAGAUUUCUUGAAUUAAUU